Molecule: ribosomal RNA, 377 nt
Filed under: uncultured eukaryote
Lineage: Eukaryota
Description: partial 18S ribosomal RNA
Rfam family: Eukaryotic small subunit ribosomal RNA
Source: RNAcentral
UAAUAGCGUAUAUUAAUGUUGUUGCAGUUAAAAAGCUCGUAGUUGGAUUUUGGUGUUUGACAAAUGGUCUGCCUUUCGGUGUGCACUGUUUGUUGGCACUUCUUUUCUGGGGAACUCACUGCUCUUAAUUGAGGGGCGCUGUAACGCAGAUCGUUUACUUUGAAAAAAUUAGAGUGUUCAAAGCAGGCCAACGCAUUGAAUACAUUAGCAUGGAAUAAUGGAAUAGGACUUUGGUCUUAUUUUGUUGGUUUCUAAGGCCGAGGUAAUGAUUAAUAGGGAUAGUUGGGGGCGUUUAUAUUCCGUUGUCAGAGGUGAAAUUCUUGGAUUUACGGAAGAUAAACUACUGCGAAAGCAUUCGCCAAGGAUGUUUUCAUUAA